RNAcentral lists this ribosomal RNA (474 nucleotides) under uncultured bacterium. RNAcentral's name for it is "bacterial SSU rRNA". It matches the Rfam family "Bacterial small subunit ribosomal RNA", at positions 328 to 793 of the family's 1533-position model. The record is from RNAcentral.
CGCUAGCACUCCUACGGGAGGCAGCAGUGGGGAAUAUUGCACAAUGGGGGAAACCCUGAUGCAGCCAUGCCGCGUGUGUGAAGAAGGCCUUCGGGUUGUAAAGCACUUUCAGUAGGGAGGAAGGUAGUGUAGUUAACACCUGCAUUAUUUGACGUUACCUACAGAAGAAGCACCGGCUAACUCCGUGCCAGCAGCCGCGGUAAUACGGAGGGUGCGAGCGUUAAUCGGAAUUACUGGGCGUAAAGCGCAUGCAGGUGGUUUGUUAAGUCAGAUGUGAAAGCCCGGGGCUCAACCUCGGAAUUGCAUUUGAAACUGGCAGACUAGAGUACUGUAGAGGGGGUAGAAUUUCAGGUGUAGCGGUGAAAAUGCGUAGAGAUCUGAAGGAAUACCGGUGGCGAAGGCGGCCCCCUCGGACAGAUACUGACACUCAGAUGCGAAAGCGUGGGGAGCAAACAGGAUUAGAUACCCUGGUAG